UACGUAGGUGGCAAGCGUUAUCCGGAUUUACUGGGUGUAAAGGGCGUGUAGGCGGGGACGCAAGUCAGAUGUGAAAACCACGGGCUCAACCUGUGGCCUGCAUUUGAAACUGUGUUUCUUGAGUACUGGAGAGGCAGACGGAAUUCCUAGUGUAGCGGUGAAAUGCGUAGAUAUUAGGAGGAACACCAGUGGCGAAGGCGGAUUGCUGGACAGCAACUGACGCUGAGGCGCGAAAGCGUGGGGAGCAAACAGG
Molecule: ribosomal RNA, 253 nt
Filed under: uncultured bacterium
Lineage: Bacteria
Description: partial 16S ribosomal RNA
Rfam family: Bacterial small subunit ribosomal RNA
Source: RNAcentral